This 431-nucleotide ribosomal RNA is filed under the name uncultured bacterium. RNAcentral describes it as "partial 16S ribosomal RNA". It matches the Rfam family "Bacterial small subunit ribosomal RNA", at positions 29 to 507 of the family's 1533-position model. The record is from RNAcentral.
AACGAACGCUGGCGGCAGGCCUAACACAUGCAAGUCGAGCGCCCUUUCGGGGGAGCGGCGGACGGGUGAGUAACGCGUGGGAAUAUGCCCUUCUCUACGGAAUAGCCUCGGGAAACUGAGAGUAAUACCGUAUACGCCCUAUGGGGGAAAGAUUUAUCGGGGAAGGAUUAGCCCGCGUUGGAUUAGGUAGUUGGUGGGGUAAUGGCCUACCAAGCCGACGAUCCAUAGCUGGUUUGAGAGGAUGAUCAGCCACACUGGGACUGAGACACGGCCCAGACUCCUACGGGAGGCAGCAGUGGGGAAUCUUAGACAAUGGGGGCAACCCUGAUCUAGCCAUGCCGCGUGAGUGAUGAAGGCCUUAGGGUUGUAAAGCUCUUUCAGCUGGGAAGAUAAUGACGGUACCAGCAGAAGAAGCCCCGGCUAACUCCAUG